This 248-nucleotide ribosomal RNA is filed under the name Proteus mirabilis. RNAcentral describes it as "partial 23S ribosomal RNA". It matches the Rfam family "Bacterial large subunit ribosomal RNA", at positions 1652 to 1883 of the family's 2925-position model. Lineage: Bacteria; Pseudomonadati; Pseudomonadota; Gammaproteobacteria; Enterobacterales; Morganellaceae. The record is from RNAcentral. RNAcentral also lists the same sequence under 1 other name.
AACCGACACAGGUGGUCAGGUAGAGAAUACUCAGGCGCUUGAGAGAACUCGGGUGAAGGAACUAGGCAAAAUGGUGCCGUAACUUCGGGAGAAGGCACGCUGGCGGUAGGUAAAGUCCCUCGCGGACGGCGCUGAAGCCAGUCGAAGAUACCAGCUGGCUGCAACUGUUUAUUAAAAACACAGCACUGUGCAAACACGAAAGUGGACGUAUACGGUGUGACGCCUGCCCGGUGCUGGAAGGUUAAUUG